RNAcentral lists this ribosomal RNA (510 nucleotides) under uncultured bacterium. Its description in RNAcentral is "partial 16S ribosomal RNA". It matches the Rfam family "Bacterial small subunit ribosomal RNA", at positions 28 to 507 of the family's 1533-position model. The record is from RNAcentral.
GACGAACGCUGGCGGCGUGCUUAACACAUGCAAGUCGAACGAAGAGCGAUGGAAGCUUGCUUCUAUCAAUCUUAGUGGCGCACGGGUGAGUAACGCGUAAUCAACCUGCCCUUCAGAGGGGGACAACAGUUGGAAACGACUGCUAAUACCGCAUACGAUCCAAUCUCGGCAUCGGGACUGGAUGAAAGGUGGCCUCUAUUUAUAAGCUAUCACUGAAGGAGGGGAUUGCGUCUGAUUAGCUAGUUGGAGGGGUAACGGCCCACCAAGGCGAUGAUCAGUAGCCGGUCUGAGAGGAGGAACGGCCACAUUGGGACUGAGACACGGCCCAGACUCCUACGGGAGGCAGCAGUGGGGAAUCUUCCGCAAUGGACGAAAGUCUGACGGAGCAACGCCGCGUGAGUGAGGACGGCCUUCGGGUUGUAAAGCUCUGUUAAUCGGGACGAAUGGUUCUUGUGCGAAUAGUGCGAGGAUUUGACGGUACCGGAAGAGAAAGCCACGGCUAACUACGUG